CUGAAAAUGUAAGAAGUGGAUGGACUUUGUUGAAUUCGCUCGAAAACAGCAUUGUGAAUGAUCCUGUGAUAGACGAACGCUGGGAAACGUUUAUGAGCAAUCAUGGCUCAACACCGCAAGAUUUUCAGGAGGUUUUGAGAAGAAAUAUUAGUAUGUUUCUAAGUGUGAGAAUACGUAACCCUUCAAACUAUUCAACGACGACUGAGUUGUCGGAGUCAAAGUGGUAUCAUUUGAAAUCUAACGCUUCUGGAAUAACUAUCUGCGAAAAUGACACUUUCCCAAACACGAAUUUGACCAUUUUGCAACUUUACAACAAAUAUUCCAAAAGUGUGUGGAAAAUACACAAAUAUGAUUAUUUUUAUACUACAAACAACACAACCCACAGUGUAAUAUACAGUAAUGGCAGUGACUGCAGCA
Long non-coding RNA from Zophobas morio, 417 nucleotides. RefSeq lists it as uncharacterized. The transcript has 3 exons. Lineage: Eukaryota; Metazoa; Arthropoda; Insecta; Coleoptera; Tenebrionidae. The record is from RefSeq and is a predicted model, not a curated record.